RNAcentral lists this ribosomal RNA (468 nucleotides) under uncultured bacterium. RNAcentral describes it as "partial 16S ribosomal RNA". It matches the Rfam family "Bacterial small subunit ribosomal RNA", at positions 28 to 507 of the family's 1533-position model. The record is from RNAcentral.
GACGAACGCUGGCGGCGUGCUUAACACAUGCAAGUCGAACGGAAAGGCCCUGCUCUUGUGGGGUGCUCGAGUGGCGAACGGGUGAGUAACACGUGAGUAACCUGCCCCUGACUUUGGGAUAACUUCAGGAAACUGGGGCUAAUAUCGCAUAGGAGCUCCUGCUGCAUGGUGGGGGUUGGAAAGUUUCGGCGGUUGGGGAUGGACUGGCGGCUUACCAGCUUGUUUGUGGGGUAGUUGCUGACCAAGGCUUUGACGGGUAGCCGGCCUGAGAGGGUGACCGGCCACAUUGGGACUGAGGUACGGCCCAGACGCGUACGGGACGCAGCAGUGGGGAAUAUUGCACAAUGAGCGGAAGCCUGAUGCAGCAACGCCGCGUGCGGGAUGACGGCCUACGAGUUGUAAACCGCUUUCGCCUGUGACGAAGCGUGAGUGACGGUAAUGGGUAAAGAAGCACCGGCUAACUACGUG